AACUUUGACUUUGACUAACUUGGUUUAAAACCGCGCCAGAAUCUAAGCGCAGCAGGACGUUCAAUUAGUAAACUGUCUUUGAUACAGGUCUGCGCUCAUUGCACAUUUCGUUUGGAACCACGUAGGCGCUCUUCUUCAUGCCGGGCAGGACGGAUUGGAUCCAGGUGCCGUGCGAGGCGUGGCAGCCUGCCCUCGCGGGAGAACAAGGAAAGCGCCUGUCAAGCGCUUGAGAUGAAAAUCCUCUUGACGGCAUUAUAAUGGAGUCAGGUGGAAGUACUUGACCUGCUCAUGACCUACGUAUGUUUAUCCAUCAAGGCCGUCCGUGUGAAUCAUCAGCCGCGUCCGUCAGGAAGGAAGUGCAUGAAGGGUCGGACACGGGACGCUGCUGUUCAAUCCCUGACCGCCAUUUUAACCAUGACCACCAUGUUCCCCAACCGCGACCCGGUAUUUCUUCCAACCCUGGAGGAGAUUGUUUUCCGUGACGUCCACCAAUGAACCUGUGCGCCAACAAAAGAGUGACGGAGUGAUCGCACCAUUUUAUUUCCCCACGGUGAGACAUAUGGGAACCUGCAGCGCCCCCACAUGCGCCGCGUGACAUGACUCAGGUGAGAUAUUAAUAUCUUCUUGCCUCCCAACAGCGGAUGGAGCAGAACCAUUAUCAGUGUUGUAAUCGCUGCUACCUGGAAGCAGUGAAACCAGCCGAGAGGACGUGAAUAAUUCCACCCAGCACCUGAGCCUCGUCUUCCAAUAAUCUGUAUCCACGCAUAUUAUCUGUCACGGGGGGGGGGGUAAAUCCCCGCAAUCCUCCGGUGAAGUGAAACUGAUUAGAUUUCAAACCGCGGCGACGUUGAUGUAGAUGCGAGGGCCGCGAGACAUGGCGUCUCACAGUGCGUUGUCUCGCGCUCAUCCUCAAUGUAUUUCCUGGCUUAAAGCGACAGCCGUUCAGACAGAGGAAAUGGGAACACGUCUCGUGGAUAAUGAUUAUUUGUGUGCAUCGUUUUCUCGGCUGAUGAAAGAAGGCAACACAUCCCUGGUGAGGCGAUGACAGCUGACUGAAGGCUGCUCCUUUUUUUGGUGAAAUUUCCUACAAAAGCCAGCAACACUUUGCAUUCAAACGGCCUAUUUUAAGAUGAGCAACUUUGUAAGGUUAAGGUUCAAAUAUUCUUUGUACUGGCUGAAGGAUUUGGGUUUCUCCAAAUACUUGAUGACACCAAAUGUGAAACGUUUUGGAGCAUUUGUACAGAACAGGAUGUUCAAAAUGGAGGAGGUCUUCUUGUUUUUAUCCCAGACAGAAACCGGAGGUGAGAACUGAAGAAUCUCUUUGUGCUGCUAACAGGAGCAGAAAGGUAUUUUAAGGUCAGGACUAAAUCAGAGGCAGUUCUGCGGGAUUCAAAGUGGUUUGAAUAGGGAGCAUAAAUCACGCAAACCCCGAGGAGGGUUCAUUACCUUGAAAAUAAAGCUUUUACCGCUGAUUGCAUUGGGCAGCCGAGCUCAGCCCCCACAGCCGCCACAUAAGCCCUCGAAACCCGUCGGCUUCGCCCUUCUUCUGUUUACAACACCAACAGAGUCUUGAGAUUUGAUGGAAGGAUAAUGGAAAACAGCGCAGCGUUUGUUUGUCGCGCUCCUCAGCUGGUUGAAAUUCACACCGGGCGCUCUUCUUCCACGGAGUCAUUUCUCAGAGGCAGUGAAGAAUGGCGCCGCGAUAACAGAUGAGAUUCUCAGCCGGCGCUUGGCAUGCUGGACCGAAAAGAGAGAAGAAGAAGACGGCACGGAGGAGGCAUUAAAAACUCUCUCGCCUUGUGUGUCUGUGUGUGUGUGUGUGGGUGGGUGUGUGUGCGCGUGGGGGACACACACACACACACACACACAGACACUUAAAUGUGGGAAGGCGAUUGCUGACGUCGGUGCUCUCAGUAACGUAUCAGUGUUGUCUCAAUAGCUACAAAUCAAUGUGGGUCCGGACAGCCUCUGCAUUGCAGGCUCCCGCCCGGCGAGGCUGCGGGCGCUGCUGCCCCGCGUGCCCGUCAGGGCGGGGGGGCUUCAAACGGAGGGAAACAAAGCGGAGGGGAGCUGUUAGUGCAUUAAUGUAUGCUGCAUUUUUCUAUCAUUUAACUGAAG
Gasterosteus aculeatus aculeatus (three-spined stickleback) is the source of this 2118-nucleotide long non-coding RNA. Lineage: Eukaryota; Metazoa; Chordata; Actinopteri; Perciformes; Gasterosteidae. The record is from Ensembl.